GGAUGCGAUCAUACCAGCACUAAAGCACCGGAUCCCAUCAGAACUCCGAAGUUAAGCGUGCUUGGGCGAGAGUAGUACUGGGAUGGGUGACCUCCUGGGAAGUCCUUGUGUUGCAUUCA
Molecule: ribosomal RNA, 119 nt
Filed under: Triticum aestivum (bread wheat)
Lineage: Eukaryota; Viridiplantae; Streptophyta; Magnoliopsida; Poales; Poaceae
Source: RNAcentral